AUACGUAGGGGGCGAGCGUUGUCCGGAAUGAUUGGGCGUAAAGGGCGCGUAGGCGGCCCGGUAAGUCUGGAGUGAAAGUCCUGCUUUUAAGGUGGGAAUUGCUUUGGAUACUGUCGAGCUUGAGUGCAGGAGAGGUAAGUGGAAUUCCCAGUGUAGCGGUGAAAUGCGUAGAGAUUGGGAGGAACACCAGUGGCGAAGGCGACUUACUGGACUGUAACUGACGCUGAGGCGCGAAAGUGUGGGGAGCAAACAGGAUUAGAUACCCUGGUAGUCCACACUGUAAACGAUGAAUGCUAGGUGUAGGGGGUAUCGACCCCUUCUGUGCCGCAGUUAACACAAUAAGCAUUCCGCCUGGGGAGUACGGCCGCAAGGUUGAAACUCAAAGGAAUUGACGGGG
Molecule: ribosomal RNA, 397 nt
Filed under: uncultured bacterium
Lineage: Bacteria
Description: partial 16S ribosomal RNA
Rfam family: Bacterial small subunit ribosomal RNA
Source: RNAcentral